CUGAAGAAUGCAACCAUGCCUUCUGUAGAAGGACUUCUGAUCCAACAUUAGGAAGGAAAUCUCAAGGUUUUUAGAAAUGACAACACACAAAAGAGCAAUGGUUUACAGUACACACACUGUUCAUAAAACUUCGAUAAGAUACAAAACUAAAACACGAUUUAUCUAAUAAAUGUGGGUCAACGAACGUGAGGUGUUUUAGAUACAUGAUUUACCAAACAAAUGUGACAAACACUGAGAGGCAGACUCCAAAGAAAAACAGAUCUCCCACUUCUGUGGUGUUUUAGAUACUUUUCUUCAUUCAGCAGCAGCAGGAGCAUGAAGUUACAAAUCUUAUCGGUUUUUGACACUUCUUAGUGUCAUUUCCCUCAUUCUCAUGCUUGUUUUUCCAUGUUGCAUUAACUAAUGUACAACAAUAGCUUAUGGAAACCUGGUUCAAUUUCCUUCUUCAAAGCAAUAUGAGCAUCCCAGCACCAGUAACACAAAGGAGAUGAACAACGCUGAAACUAUUCUGUAUUCUUUUUCUGUUAUACCACAAAAAGUAACUACAAGCUCCAUCAUCCCAAAAGAAAUUUGUUCAAAAUUGUUUCAGGACAAGAACAAUAGCUCAGAUAGGAAGAAAACAGAGAGAAAUCAUUGUAAGUCACCACGAAAUUGUUGCAAGCCGGAAAUAGUCGCAACAGUCCAAGAAUUUCUCAGGACUUCCGUGUCUCCCCAAUGGCAAUAUAUUUAUGCAAUUGGUUGGAAUUUCACACUUUCCUCCAGGUUGAGGAGUGACUCACUUGGUUACAUAUACUUUUUUGGAUAUUUACGCUAGCAAUACAGUAUUAUCUUUAUAAAAUUUCAAUUGCUAGAAGUUUAAAACAUGGUUUGCCUAAUCAAUUUGGUUCUAUAGUAGGCAGAUCGAGAAUAAACAUGUCUUAAAAGUACUAUCCACACAUCUAAGUGGAUCAUACAUACUUUUUAUCCACACAAUUAUAGAACCACAAAUUAUUAUCCACUUGUUAUCUACAUAUUGCAUAGGACUCACAGCUUAUAAGUACUUAAUAGUACUACCAAACAAGCACUUAGAC
Molecule: long non-coding RNA, 1070 nt
Filed under: Olea europaea subsp. europaea
Lineage: Eukaryota; Viridiplantae; Streptophyta; Magnoliopsida; Lamiales; Oleaceae
Source: RNAcentral